This 254-nucleotide ribosomal RNA is filed under the name uncultured bacterium. Its description in RNAcentral is "partial 16S ribosomal RNA". It matches the Rfam family "Bacterial small subunit ribosomal RNA", at positions 524 to 776 of the family's 1533-position model. The record is from RNAcentral.
UACGAGGGGGGCAAGCGUUGUUCGGAAUUAUUGGGCGUAAAGGGUGCGUAGGCGGUCUGAUAAGUCAUCUGUGAAAAUCUAUGGGCUCAACCCAUAGUCUGCAGGCGAAACUGUCGGGCUUGAGUAUGGGAGAGGUGAGUGGAAUUUCCGGUGUAGCGGUGAAAUGCGUAGAUAUCGGAAGGAACACCUGUGGCGAAAGCGGCUCACUGGACCAUUACUGACGCUGAUGCACGAAAGCUAGGGGAGCAAACAGG